GGGGUAGUCAGAGUGGGGUUUAGAAAACCAUGCCCAUCAUUGACAGCCUUACGCACCUGAGGUAUCCUUGGAGCGCGUCCGGGUGGGACCGGCGCGGCAGAACCCACCGAACCCCGCCAGGUCUGAGAAGAAGCAACGGUAAGGAGGUCCUUCUGGGCGCCGCCGGCAAACCUGCCCGGCGCACUUCUUUGAAGCGAGAGUCAUCCC
This 207-nucleotide signal recognition particle RNA is filed under the name Anaerolinea thermolimosa. RNAcentral describes it as "Bacterial large signal recognition particle RNA". The stretch from base 81 to 180 matches the Rfam family "Bacterial small signal recognition particle RNA". Lineage: Bacteria; Bacillati; Chloroflexota; Anaerolineae; Anaerolineales; Anaerolineaceae. The record is from RNAcentral.